UUGUGUUGAUCUAGCUGGUUCGAUCUGAUGAUCUUUUAUUGGCUAUGUUGCAGUUUCAGAAGGAGAUCUCGGUGAAGAGCGGCGAGUUAUCGGUUUCGAUAGAAGAUUCUACUUUCGAAAAGGCCGGGCAGAUAGAUGCUGUUUUGGGCCUGCUCGCGUUCGACUCACAUUUGGCUCGAUAUUCGGCUCGCUCGAGCUCGACUCGAAAUUAAAUGAGCCGAGGUUGAACAAAAGAAAAAGUUCGAAAUUCAUUUCAAGUUGAGCUUGAAUGUUACUCGGCUCGUUCGAAUUAGGCUCGAAAAGCUCGAAUAUAUAUAUAUAUAUAUAUACUAGUGUAGGCCCGCGCUUCGCGGUGGAUCGAUAAUAUUUCAGAUAUUUAGCCAAUCAAUAUAUUUAAUUAUUAAACUUUUAAAAUUUUAAGAAAAUAUAACAAAAAAUACAAAAAAAAAAUAAUAUAAUCUUUUAUACAUUAUAAAAACUAAUCUUUUUAUUAAUAUUUUGUAACUUUCAUUAUUUGUGGAAUUAUAGUUUUCUUAUUACCCACUUAAAUAUUUAAUCAAACGUAAUAGUUUUUUUGAGGACUUAUUCUAAAUCAACAAAUAUAUAAAAUUGUCUUUACUUUGUUAAAAUUGAUUUGAGAAAGACAAAAUUAUUAUAUGCAUUUGAUGUAUAUUAAUACACCAUAUACCACAAUUUAUAUUAAAAAACUAUUUUUUAAUAUCAAAACUUAAUUAAAUAUAUCUAAUCUACAAACUGUAAAUAAAUUAAAUAUAUUUAUUUAAUUAAAUUUUAAUGCCAUGUAGAGAAUACUUAAUAAAAUAUACUCAUAAUUUCCAGAAAGAAGAAAUUUUUGCUUGCACCGGAUAUAUACUAAUAUUUCAUACACCGCACCGACUCUCCCUAAAGCAAGUGGCAAAGGGCUUAGUGGUUGGUACCUGAGGUCCCAAGUUCGAAUCCUAGUUGAUUCACGUUUUCAUAGUGUGCUAUCUAUCUCUCAAAAAAAAAAAAAAUUUCAUACACCGCAAAAAUAUAUUAAAUGAUUGAUAAAAUAUCUAAUAAGUAGUAUUGUAAAUGUAAAAUAAAAUAACUAUAUAGUAUAUAUAAUUUAAAUAUGUAUUG
This 1119-nucleotide long non-coding RNA is filed under the name Ananas comosus (pineapple). RNAcentral describes it as "long non-coding RNA (ACOM_LNC012185)". The record is from RNAcentral. Lineage: Eukaryota; Viridiplantae; Streptophyta; Magnoliopsida; Poales; Bromeliaceae.